CGCCGUCUGAUAUAACAUACCAAAGGGGAAGGGGUGGUGGGGGUUCGUUUGGCUUGGCGUCGUCGUCGCGCGCGCUCCGGUGACGGCGGCGGGCCGGCAUGGCCGUGGAGGAAGUCCUCGGUUGGUCGCUGUGCAACUUGACGCCUCAUCAUCUCGGCUCGGCCAAAGGGAGAAUGAAGAUACAAUACAAUACAGGAAGAGCGGCCUCCGGUCGCCGUGGUGUGCGUGUGUGUGUGGGCUGGAUGCCCUGUUCUCAGCUAGCGCUCUCCUAUCCUAUCAGAUUCAGAGCAGGGUUUUGCUGAUGUUCUACGUUUUGUUACUCGCUAUCACCAGAAAUAAAAAAGUUCCUUGCAGUUUGUUCUAAUUCCUACCAUCGUUGCAACAUUGGAUAUAGUGUCUAAGAACAGGAGAACCUGUAGAAAAUAGACAAGCACAGAAACUGUACUCGAAAUCGUCUGAAAUGCGAACUAGUGCAUUUUCCUUGCGAAAAUCCCUACAAAAAAUCUUGUGGUAGGCGUGCGUGGCCGCACUAAAAGAAAAUGUGCCCCGGUCGGUGCAGAGAACCCGUCCCGUCCGCUCACUGUCUGACGUGUGGUGUGGUCCGGCCCUACGAGUAGGCCUCGUGCCUAUAGGAGCGUUCCAGCACUGCUUCCCCACUAGCACAGAGCCGUGCAAUUUUAUCACACAAGACUCGAGAAAUCCACGAGAUCGCGGAUUGGUAUUGCUUGAGCGCCCGGUGAUCCCCGUUGCACUCCAGCCGACCACCACCGACUCCUGCGGCGCCUAGAAUUUCCCGUGCUCCAGCGAUAGGGCGCGACCGGGGUGAAACUGAAACCAGUGGCAAUACCAUUGGGUCCCCACCGCGGGUGCCCGUGAACCUUAUCGUGGCGCAUGCCUCCCGCACCGACCGACGGCAUGGACGCCGUCGUCUCUGCUAGCCUUUCUUUCUUUCUUUCUUUUAUUUAACGCGGCGGUGAUCGACAGCGACCGGCGGCGCGGGAAGCUCCCGCAGGGCUUGCGGGUCUGUUCGCUUCAGCUUAUAAACCGGCUGAAAAGCUGAAAUGGCUGAUUUGUUGUGAGAAAAAAACACUGUUUGGUAGCUGAUAGGCCGGAUGAACAAGCUGAAGCGAACACGCCGUGCAUAGUUGCAUCCGGCUGGCUCCGUUCUCGGAUCAACUUGGGCUGAGGGCAAUUGACAGUGAACGGGCCUGGCCAUUGAAUAUUUGAAUUGAGCACCAGUGGUAGCUCAAAUUUACCACGCGCAGGUCGGCACACGGAAGGAUCAGGAAGGUAAGGCGACCUGGACCAGUCAUCAGUUCAUCACAUGACGCGCUGCCAAGAUACCCUCCAGGCUCCAGCAAAAGAAAAGCUGUUGGGAAUGGGCCGCCCUGCGUGGGAUCAAUCCCCGAGAAGAUCAGAUAUUAUAACGUGGCACUAAAAAAGAAUAAAGUAGCCGCCGGGAUUGUCUCACAAAAGAAUAAAGUAGCCGUCGAGAUUGGUCUCAAAAAAUAUUAAAGUUUCGGCGUGUUCAGAUCCGACAACCUAUCGAGGCUACCCGAGUUAGGGUUGAGUGCGCGAGACUUGUCAAGAUUAGGAAUUUGAAGGUAAACACAGACAUACGAUUUAGACAAGUUUGGAUCGUUAGAUUGCGUAAUACCCUACUUCUUGUGUGUCGGUUGGAUUGAAUUGCCUUGAAGAGGAUCCCUGCCUCGCCUUAUAUUAUCGGGAGCAGGGUUACAGGUUGGUUGAUUUAUAAGAAUACUAGUCGAAUUCGAUUAGAUAAGGCAUACUCUAAUUAUUACGAGUAGUUUUUCGAAUUCUCGACUAGUUCCUAUCUUACCACGUAAAUCAUACCAUCCUGCAUCAUAGUCUUCACAUCUUGUACCAGUCCUGUACCUAGAACUCUCCAAAUCUCCUGAUGAACUCGUAGAUGUAUAUACGACGGCCGCCGAGGUUCGAAUGCGAACGGUGCAGGUCAUCUGGCUAGUUGGUGUGCAAAUUUUAUUUGAAAUGCUGUAGUCCACCGACGAACAAAUACUUCAGCCCAUUUUUAAGUCAUCUCUUGCUAUUUUAUCCUUCCCGAGAUACCCAUUGCCGACAGCAUCAAUUAGUUGCUAUUUUAUCCUUCCCGAGAUACCCAAUACUGACAGCAUCAAUUAGCGUCCAUAUAGCUUUCAGUAAAAGAGAAGGCUUCUGGGCAAUAAUGAACACAGCUGAAAGGGAGUGUCAAUUUUCUUCAACACAUGCGUAGUGCGAUUUUCUUACUACGCCAUAACCUUUAGUACUGUCUUAAGCCCGCUCAAUAUGUGCAAACAGAUUAUCAUCUGGACCACAGAAAUCUGAAGGAAUGCAAACAUACACAGCCCAUACAGAUACAGAUCACCACACAUGGGCCACAAACUACCCAUUAACACCCACAGUAAGAACCACAAGCAUUGGGCGUGAGCAAGAGCUGCUUCCAAAGCAAAUCUCAAACAGAUCGGAGGGUUCGUCCAAUUUUUUGGGCAAUCAUAUUGCAAUAAGACAACGUCCUCACGACACCUAGAUAUAUCAGACGCAAAACAGAUACACAAUCUGAUCUCACACUGCUGGAACACGGAGGACAAUCCGUCGCUGAUACAUCAACAUGCAGACUCAUAAGAUUAUCGCCUUACCGGCUUCCAGCUUGGCUGCAGACGACUCAGAGAAAAGGGGGACAUACAGGAGAGUAACCGGAUGUAGGCAUGCAAGGGUGAUCGCAUUGGCUGUGCCAAUCACCCAGACUUGAAUAGCAAGACGGCUUUGGAAUCGAUGUAGAAGUAUACAAAGUAGUUUGUCUCAUGCGUUACAUACGAACCUGCAAUAGACGAAAAAUGGUUAGCAAAAGCGUGGGCGUUCAAUAUACAUAUCAUGGACUCAUAAAUGGAAGAGGUUAAUAAGUUCUCACUAUUUUCAGCUUAACUUUUCCAUUCCCAAGCUAUGCAUAUGCCACUAAAGUUCAGCGGUCAACAUAACCACAUACUCCACAACCAAAAGGAGUAACUGGAUGUUUUUAAUGUAGAUUAACAAAUCCAACCAAUUUAUAAUGGAGAAACUCUAGCAGGACUUGGCAUAUGUUCUGUCUCACUGCUAGAAUAACUAUCCCAUGUUACAGAAAUGGUAUUUAGACAUAGUAAACAAGAUGCCGGAUAAAUAUCAAACAAAGGCAGAAGAGGCUAACGCUCUUCUAACUUGCUAAUUGAUCAUUUCUCGAGCUAUGAGAAGUAAUUUAAGAUAAAAUUUCUCCCAUAAUCCUAUCAUAAUAGAGUAAAACAGAAACAUGUAGAAAUUAAGACAGCUCUUCAUUGAGUUUUAUAAUUAGUUUGUGAAGUAGAAUCAGUCAAAAAUAUCUGGAAACUACGACAGCUCAUCACUCAGUCUUAGAAUUAGAGAAACAAUUUAAGAAAAGAUUUCUCCCAUAGUCCUAUCCUAAUAGAGUCAAACAGAAACAUGUAGAAAUUAAGACAGCUCUUCACUGAGUUCCUAUCCUAAUAGAGUCAAACAGAAACAUGUAGAAAUUAAGACAGCUCUUCACUGAGUUUUAUAAUUAGUUUGUGAAGUGGAAUCAGUCAAAAUAUCUGGAAACUACAACAGCUCAUCAUUCAGUCUUAGAGUUAGGUUGAGAUACAAUCAGUGCAAUCAAAUAGAAACAUCUGGGAACUAAGACAGGUCGCCGAAGUGUCUUAGGAUUAGUUUGUGUGACAGAAUCAGUCAGUUGUGAGUGUGUCAUUCUCUCUAACGUUUGUCCUUCUCUUCUUAUUAGUAAAAAGAAAGCUGAAGUGCUGCCCAAGUUUGGAACAACAAAGGGUGACCAAAUUUAAAGGAAAAAAAUAAAAAAGGACUGGAAUUCAGAGACAGCAACAACCAGCCUCUUGUUUCUAUGCCAUCGAUAGAGAAAAACCUUUUUAAUUUUGCUAAUACUUUCAGUGCUAAAAUGUGUGCUCAAUCAAAAGGGACAUUCAGCCAUUGGUCAAAUCUUUCUAGCCUUGUCAGAGUGGCAGAAUUCGUAAGAAUUUGGUGACUUGUUGCAGUACACCAAUUAUCAGAAGCACACUCCAAAAUUUAUUAACAGAUAUUGGCCCAGAACGAAAAAACCAAUAAAAAAUGUGCAGAUUUGAGUUAUGGCUAUUUUAUGAUAAUUGACAAUGCCUGAAAGAAAACCAAAAUAGUGUAUGUCUGACUUGCUUGUAGAGAAUGCAAAGGAAGGAGAGAAAGAAAGCAAUGAUAUGCUUUAUUUGUUAUGCACGAUAUAGAAGUUGCAGUGAUAAGACCUAGCUACUAGGCAUGCUGGAAAAUUUCCAAUAACAAUAUAAUUUGGCAUCUUGAUCGAGAAGAAGCUAGAAUGGGAGAUAAAUCAGGAAAUUAUAAAUGAUCCAAUGCUACACGUAAAGCUAUAUAGCAUGUAGAAGAAUAUGAACACAGUCGAGAAAUUGCUAUAAGAAAAUAUGACCUGAAGUAUAAGAUUAAACAUUUUGUAGAGGAGAGUCGAAAAACGAACAGCUAAAACUUAUGUUUGAUAAGAACAUAGCCACAUAAUUGCAAUAAAAAAACAGAACAAAUGCAGAGUUAAACAGUUGCUGCAAAACACAAAAGCUGUUCAAUCUGGUACUGAAAAUUGUUAGCUUAGAUCCAAUAUCACAAAUUGGUUAGGCCAAUUGCAUUAGAGGUCUCUAAACUUCCUUUAUUGCACUGCUAAUUGCAGGAGUGUUUGUCAAGUGAAUAAGUAAUGUGCCAUGCCAGUUGACACGGAAUAUAAGUGACAUGACAGUAUGACAGUCAGCAUGCCCAGUCAGUUGCAAGUCUACAUAAAAUGCCAUGCCAUUUCUUUGUUACAUCUGAUUAACAGAGUACAGUGACACUAAGUUAAGGAACUGAAAAAUAAAGCAUGUGCUACUAAUUUAUUGAAACAAAAAAUUUAGUUUUAGAUAAGAAAGAGUUGAACAAAAAAUUGAAUAAGUCAAUUAAAAAUGUGUAAAAUUGAAUGAUACUCCCUCCGUUUCAAAAUGUAGGUCAUUUUUGCUUUUCUACAUAUAUAGAUUUUGCUAUGUAUCUAGACAUAACACUAUAUUUAGGUGCAUAACAAAAUCUAUGUAUCUAGAAAAGCCAAAACGACUUACAUUUUGGAACGGAGGGAGUAGCUCGCUAAGUUGGAUUUGGUUGAUAUCAGGAAUAGCCUACCCUGUUGGCUGAGCAAAGCUUAGAGAAUGCUUACAUAAAGUUUUUAGAAUUUAAGCCAAGCCAGAAGCAAGGAGGUAAACUUCAAAUUCGAGAAAUAAGACAUUGUCAUACUUGCACUAUACACACUCCCGGAAACAAUACUUCACCCACUCCAUUACAGGUGCUACAUUCAAUAAAAAAAGAUACAGGUCAUUCAACAUUCCCUUGUCAAAUUUGAAGCAUAAUUUCAGUUGACUGCAAUAACCGUUUCAGCUUCUUCAGUUUUCCUAGUUCAUUUCCUCCUGUGUACAACUUAUUUGUGGGGGUGAGGGUGGGGAAUGAGUUUCCUGUGGCUUCUAUUGACAGCAUAAGCAGUCCUACAAGGUCCAUUCAAUCAAUCACGUGCGGACCUUUAUUGGGCCAGGCACGGACGAAAUCGACCAUGGAAUAACCAACGACGCAAAGCAUACCAGACCAGAUAUCAACAACUGUCCUCAGGACAGGCGCAAUCAUCCCACAUGUUCCGCGCUAAUUAAGGAGUCCUCCCGGACAAGAGGAGAGCAUUACCGAAGUUGCGGCCGACGAUGCAGUGCCAGGUUGGGCCGUGGUUCUUGUCGAACUCCUUCUUGAUGUACUCCGCGAUGUCCUUCUCCAUGGUGUGCUUCUCGAACGCCUGACCGAAAGAGCGAGAGGUUGAAAAAAAAAUCCCCCGAACCCCAACGAACAACUAGUAAUAUGAAAACCAAAUCGAGAGCAGGAAAGAAAGCAAUAGUGAGAGCAGAGGCACGAGGUUCGUACGAUGCGGGCGAUUUCGAAGGCCUCCUGCCGCAUCUCCUCCUUCAUAUCGGCGCUCUUGAGCUGGAUCUUGUGCCCCGCCGCGGCCGGCGGCGGGGACCCCGCGCCCACCGGCUUGCGGUCCUCGGAGGAGGCCCGGAGCGCCGCCUGCGCGGCGCCCCCGGCCCCGCGCCUGGCCUCGUCGGACAUUCUCGAGGGCGGGUGGAGCAGAGCUGCCGGGCACGCUUCUCCUCCCUCUCGAGGAAUCCUCUCCUCGCUUUUUUGGCGAUGGUGGGCGUCUGGGCGAGGACGAGAAGCAGACACCGUGGGCGUGCGCGUGCGCGUUGCAGUGGAAUCUGCCUAGCAGCCGGCGGCCAGAGAGAAGAGAGAAGGUGAAAGUGUUGAAACUGGGAACUUUGGGCUGAGCCAUGGGCCUCCAUAUACAGAACCGGCCCGAAAUAAAGAGUCCAUGAGGUUGGUCCAGUUCCGUUUGCAAUGUGAGUAUUUUGCGAAACCGUUGCAGAAAUUUUAAGUGGAGCAGUUCAGCCCUCGUAGAGUCGAGAGUAAGACAAGAACAGUCAUGAGUUCCAAAUAUGCCUUCUUUAUAAAAAAAAAUUUGUCGUUAACAGUGCGCGUGUGUGUCUCCAGCAACUUCUAAUGUGACCCAAAUGGCCAAAUGUUACGGAGCCCUACGUGUUCUGGAGUUUCAAAGAGACGUAUGAAGACCACGAUGCAAAAAUGAUGUCUGCCUUUUCUCUGUCCGGUCAUCCAGGGUGUCACCUGGAGUUUUCAAGGUGUAUUUGGUUGCAUGCACCACAUGAUAUAUGCAUAGAUGAUUCUACAUGAGUGGUUCAACCAAUUUGCUUGUACCAUAUGGUUCAUUCUAAUUAGUAGAAUAAUGUAACACAGUGUUUUACCAUACAUUUGCAUAUCAACAGUCUCGCAAACCUGCAAACCUUCAAGGGUAUUAUAGUCAUUUCUUACCAAAAUUACAGUAUCACAGCUGUUUCAAUCAAACGGCUUUCAGCUUUUUCACACCUCAUAGCAUCUUUUCCAUAACCCGCAGCUCACAUCAACUUUUUCACAGCUCACAGUUCAACAAAAUAGACCAUAUAUAAGUAUGUUCGUGUGCUUUCAAAUUGCACGGGCAUCCUAAACUUACCCUCAGCUGCAAUUUAGGUCCAUGUGUUUGCAAAUGCUGAUCUAAGUAACUGAAUUUAGCUUAAUUGAUUAUUUUUUCUUAUGAUGGAACCUGCUUACCUGACUUCAAAUGCACUGAGUGCUCAUAUUUUUCUAAAUUUAUUUUAGGAAAUAAUAACUAUGUUUUUUAAUGGUUAGCGAUGUACCCGUCAAUAACGAGGUCCUUAUGUUUCGUCAAUCUCAAAAUCUGUUAGUUCAAUCUCUCUGAGAUAUGGUCAUAGGGAUAGGACGUGUGUGUUUGUAUGGAAAAGUUGACUUCACUUUUUUUUUGCUAGUUUUUUUCCAUGCAACACCUUCACAUCUAGAGACCUCCCAUAAAAGUACAUAUAUAGAAGCCUACAUACAUGCAUGCACAAUUACACAAUAUACACCUUUAGAGGAUCCGCUGAGGCUACUAGGGUCCCGUUUGGCAGAACUCUCAAAACUGAUUCUCCACUAAAUCCAGUAGGAACUCUGCCAAACAGUUUUUUAGAGAGAAGUAAUUCUCUAAUGAUUCUGUGAAGUAAUCCUCUGAAAUGAACUAAGAGGCUGGGAGCUGAAAAAAGUAGUUUCUCCUGAUUUUGUGAAGUAAUUCUCCAUUCUAAUUUUAAGAGUUUAUGCUAGAGAAUUAAAUAGAAUCGUUUUCAACACUUUUCUCAGAGAAUCAGAUGGAGUUCUAACCAAUAUUACGUGCGAAUGGUGGGGACGUUGUUUUUUAUGGAGGGGGUCAUGUUGGAGACAAACUUUGCUCAAAAAAUUGUUUUAGUUCCCAAACUAUCGAAAGGGUCAAUUUAGUCCCUGAAUUGUUGUUUGUAGUUCAAUCUAGUCGUUAGUCUUACAUGGCAUGCCAUGUGAGCUGACCGGUAUGCCCACAUGCAAAAUGUCCAUAUUACCCGUCCUCUUUUUUCUCACCCUCUCGCUUCCAUGCGGAUCCCACCUCUCAGUUAAAAAAAAAAUGGUCCGGUCCUUCGAUCCCUUGUGGUGCAUGUGGCUCCCGGUCCCAUCCCGCCGGCCGGCCAAGCAGGUGGAGCGCAUGAAUUGGCCUGUUCGCUUCAGCUUAUCAGCCGGCUUAUCAGCCACCGAACAAUGUUUUUCUCUCAUAACAAAUCAUCUGUUUCAGCUUUUCAGCCGGCUUAUAAGUCCAGCCGAACAGACCAAUACAGCUCGGCAGGGAAGACCGGCUAGACGAAGAUGCAUCGGCAAAGGAUGUCAUUGGUCUUACGUCUUGCCUUGGCCUUAUAUUUUUGCAUGUGCGAUGCGUAAUUUCUUCAAUUUCUUCAUGAGGCUCGGCGACACAUCCACAUCUCAACCAUUUAUUUGGUUUAUUUUUAUUUUUCCCUCAACCAUUUCAACCCUGACAGGUGGGACCUGCUUGGAAGCGAGAGGAUGAGGAAAAAAGAUGAAGGGUAAUUUGGACAUUUUGCAAGAGGACGUAGCAGUCAGAUGACGUGGCAUGGUAACUUGGUCCCACAUAAGACCGCAGACUAGAUUGAACUAUAAACAACAGUUCAGGGACUAAAUUGGUACUUUUGAUAGUUUGGGGACGAAACCGAUCCUUUGAGCAAAGUUGGGGAACCAAUACAGACUAUUUUUCCAAUUGCUAACGGACGAGUAAAGUGCAUGGCAGCGUUAAGUGUCCGUGUACUUUCAAAUUGCACUGUCCUCCUAAACUUACCAUGGGAUGCGAUUCAAAUCCAUGUACUCCCAAAUGCUGAUCUAGCGUACAGAAUUUAUCUCAAUUGGUUAUUUUUCUUCUGAUGGAACUUGCCUAACCUGCCUAUCCGACUUCAAGUGCUCGACUCGUCAACACAGCUACUCGUAUUUUCCAGAAUUUAUAUCAAGAAUCAAUGACUAUAUUUUUUAAUAGUUUGUGAUGUACCCGUCGAUACCGAGGUUAUUGUGGUGAUUUCGUCAAUCUCAAGAUCUGUGUCAAUCUCAAGAUCUGUUAGCCCAAUAUAUCUCAUAUGUACUCGUAGGGAAAGGAUGUGUGUGUUUGUAUGGAUAAGUUUUAAGGGUCUAUUUGGAUCCGUUAGCUAAACUUUAGCAGCUAAACUUUACUAAACUUGAGUUGCUAAACUUUAACCAUGACUGUUUGGAUCCAUGGGCUAAACAUCAUUUAAUGAGGUGUAGAAAGACCUGUCUGCCCUUAUUUAAUGCGAGGGGGGAGACAGAGAGAGGGUCCAGACAAGCAAUAAUGAGGGGCAAAAAGUGUCCAGCCCCAAGUUUAGCAAGGUUUAGCAACCAAAAAGUUGUUAAAGGACUAAAGUUUAGCAACCAUAGUUUAGCAAAAUUUAGCAAGGGUUUGUUGCUAAACUUUAGCUGCUAAAGUUUACCAAGGGGUAUCCAAACACCCCCUAAGUUGACAUCAUACUUUUGUUGCCAGAUUUUUUGAUGCAACACCUUAGAUUUCCUCCCUCAUAUAGAUGCCUAGAUACAUGCACGAAAUGCUUACCCAUAUAAAAAGGCACACUUAAAUACUAUGCACCUAGAGUACCAUAAAAAAAUACUGGACCCGCAGAUCAUGAGAAUGACGAAAUUACCACAGCCACCUCACUAUGAACGGGUACGCCGCUUACUACUAAAAGAAUAAUUAGCCAUAAAUGCAAGCAAUUGUCUUGAAGUUGGAGACUUGGAACUUGGAUGAGCAAGUUCAACCAAAAAAUCUAAUCAACCUAGAAUGUCGCUAUGGCAGAGAGUUUGCAGCAGCUUUUGAAAACUAUGGCUAAACAUGUUGAAAGAACACAACUCUAAUUAAUUCUAACUAGAAUGGGUCCUACUACCAAAGUAGUAUUUCUUGGAAAGAAUGGAAUUUUUCUACAUUCCCAACAUGAUUUUUUUCUCUCUCAAAAACACAGUUCCCAACAUGACCUACAAAGAACCUUUGAUCGAUUAGCACAUAAUAUUUCCUCGGCAGUUAUUCUAGGGAUCUAGCCAGAUUGCAUCUCUAUUCUCUAGUGGCCUAGAGGGCUUCUGAGCAUUUUGGUUGUGUAUUGGCAGCAGAUGGACAACACAUGAUGGAUGCACUCAUCGAAUUUUGGAUUAGUGAUCAAUCGGGCCAUCGGCUAAGUGCAUAUGCAGGCGAGGCCCCUUUGCAUAUGCAGGCCGGAGCUGUAUGCGCAAAAAAAAAAUUCAAUUGCAAAAACAAAAAAGGAAUAAAAGAGAUGAUGGCGGAUUUGCUGCCGUCGAUCUACUAGGUUUGCACACGAUCCAUGCUAUUGCUCUACCAUUGCCACCAUGCUGCGUUACUCGCUCUCCGGAUCAACCAGAGAAGGGAAAAAUUGAAGGGGGAAAGGUAGCAAUAGAAACACAUAAAAGAUUUGGAAAAAAAAAUCUUGCGACGAGGUUCCUGUUGUGCCACUCGUUGAGUGGAACCUGAAUCACCUCAUGACGGCGUGCUUCCAAGAGCCGCACUAUACACAGUCCGCCGAGAUCAGCACUAUACGCGGCCUGCUAGGAUCUGCACUAUAUGCAGUCCGCUAGGAUCCGUUAGCCUUGAUGAAAAACCGUGGAAGGGACUACCUCUUCCAUCGAGAAUCCACAUAAUCUGGGGCAGAGAGAGAGAGAGAGGGAGGGGGAGAGGGAUAGAAUUUGAGGGAGGAGGGAGAGAGAGAGUUUGCUCACCCUCCCCUUCAUGGUACCAGUUAAAGCAUAGUCUUAGCCACAUCGCAGCUCCCAAUCAGCAGCCCUCGAGCCGCACCAGAUCCCGCUAUGCCAGCAUAUGUGGAUCUCGCGGGUUCUGAGUUCCUAUCCCCCAUGGCGGCAUGCAUCUGCCUCACCUGUUGAUGGCGAGUCGGAGGUGGCCGCGGAGCAGGGGAGGUGUACUGAGAUCCGUUCGAGCCACCUCUGCGGUGUGUUGUGGAAGCCAACAGGGUAGAAAAGAGGGAGGAGGAAAAGGUAAAGGGAAUGAGAGGGAGCUCUUGUCGAUAGAAGAUAUAGGGGAAAAGGUUCUCUGAGUCAGGCACACUCACGUGAAAAAAGGGAAGAGGGGCAGCGGUGCAUGUCAACAACGUGUUGAUGACCUGUAGGGACUCCACAUACAGCGAAAUUAGAUCACCUAACCAGGGGCAAACAAGUUCAACUAUAUACCAUGGGAAGAAUGUAUGAUCCAUACAUAACUCCUAAGUCUCCAACUAGCAACUUAGUGGGAUGGUCAUUGAAGGCAACAAUCGCUCCAAAGUCUUUGAGAUUUCAUUCUAGCGGCCCCUGUCCCAUCCCUCUUUUUUCUGGUAAUUGAAAUAGUUAGGUAGUUUUUGGUUGUCAACUUUAAACCUUAGCAUAUAAGGAAAAUGGAAGAGUUGUAUAAUCGUAAACGAUUUAAGCAAUUACUUAUUUUGUUUGGUUUUGCCCAAUAAUGAAGUAUGGUGUUAAAAACAAAAAUUAAAGAAGAAGUAUAUAUGAUCAACGAGACGGUGACAAUGAUAAAGAUCUUUUGCCUGGCAUUUUGCCCUGGCAACAGCACCAUAAUGUUCCUGACAACCUGCAGGCUGUGGCGGUAAUGGGCGUUCAUUUGCAAGGUGUACACGAUCGUUGUGGAGACGAGGUCAGGGUGCAUCUAAUUUCAAGGACUUGUUCGACGUUGUUCUUCUGGAGUACUCUCUGUCACUAUUUGUUUUGACUUUUCUAAAUACAUAUUUAAAAAGAUCAAAACGAAUAGUAAUUCCAGGAAGUACGUAGGAAGCAAGCGGACACGAGGAUUAGAAUGGGCAGUGAGCCUCAUUACACUAGGUAGGCAGCAGUAUCUGUUUACCUAGUUUUUCCUUAUCUCCGUGGGAUUUGAUUGUGCCAGCGUCUAAACAAACACAGGUUGCCUCCAGAAAGGAAUUAUAUUAAAAAACAUGAACCAAAGAGAAUCUAAUAAGUUACACGCUCGUGAGACUUUGAUGCGAAUUUAUGCCAGUUAUAGGUCAUCUGUAAAGUUCCACUUAAAAAUCUUUUCCAUUGAUUUCUAAUUCUCUUUUUGUCAGGUGAAUUUGUUUUCAAUUUCAUGCUUAUUUUUUCAGUUACAUUCUAGAUUCUUGUGUUCAAGGUGGUCUGGUUCUGGUAACUCGCGGCCAGGAAGAAGAUGAGGUCCCUGGCCUCGACAAAUUGCAGAAUCAUGUCAUGGCGCUUACGAAUGACUAGUUACAAAUCUUAUUAUUAGUAAAAAAACAGAGUAUGUAUAAGAACCUGGUACACUAGUCUUGCAGCAUCACUUUGUGUUUGGAUUGAGGAUCGAAGUGGGUUGAGAUGGGUUUUACAAAACAGAGUAUGUACAAGAACCUGGUACACUAGUCUUGCAGCAUCACUCUGUGUUUGGAUUGAGGGUUGAAGUGGGUUGCCAACCCACUUUGCCCCAUGUUUGAUUGAAUUCCCAACCCAGAUGGGAAUAUUCCUACGAGAUCCGGGUCGAGCGCAUCCCAUUAAAUCGGAGGGACUGCAUGAACCCAGUCCGACGCCAUCUCCGUGCUUGCCUGCGCGCUGGGGAGGAGCUGGGAUGCCGGGUGGUGGCGGGCGCGGGGAGGUGGCGGGGGAGGUCGCCACCGUGGGGAGGCCGCCACCGCGGCGGAUGCAGGGGCCGGCGGCGGCAAGGGAGAGCAGGGGGUGCGUGGGAGGAGCCAGUAGAGGAGCCGUGCGGGGAGGAGGAAGAAGGUAGAAGAGGAAGGGAGGAAAAAAAGAGAGGCUGACUGGUGAGCCCCGCAACUGAUAGGUGGGGCCCACAACUAACGGUGUUAAAAGGACAUCCAUCCUAACCUUCUCAACCUCAUCAAGCAAACAAAAAAAUGGAUCAGCUCCAACCUACUCAUCCAAACAUGAGAUGAGAUGGCUCCAACUCAACUCACAUCGUCCCAAAAUCAAAAGCUACCUUAGUCUCUUCCUCUUCAAAUAACUGCUUCUCGUCACGGCCAGGCUCUCCGCCGCCGCUUCCACGGCGCAAUUCGUGACGUAGUUGUAGUAGGGCGGUAUAGGGGACCGCCAUGCUAGCACGCCCAUCUUGUCCUCGCCACGGGGCACGGCGCGGCCGUCGAGCACGUCCUGCAGCGUCACCUUGGGAAGCUCGGCGCUCUGCGCCGGACCGGGUCGCCACGUCCCCGUCUGCUUGCGCCAGUCGUAGUAGAAGCAGAGCGGCGCGUCCUCGGCGGCGCCGCAGAGGUAGGCGAGCCUGCUGCGGCCCGGCAGCCGGCUCGGGUGCUCGCCGAAGGCGGUGUAGUUGGCGCGCACGCCGCGCCUGACCACCUCCAGCACGCGGCGCCAGAACCGCGCGUCCAUGCUCGAGUGCAUCAGCCGGGAGAGGAUGUUGGCGGCCAUGAACGACCCCUUGAGCUCGUCCACGAGGUCCAUGGCGAUGGAAGCGAGCUCCGGGUGGUCGCCCGGGUCGGCGCUGCCGAAGGCGAGGACCUUGAAGAAGUGCCAGUAUUCUUCUUUGUGCAGGGUUGCCAGCCUCAGUGCCUGUCCCGUUCCUAGAGUUGAGACCUGCUCUGUUUGGCUGAUGACGAUGAUCUUGCUUGAUUUGUCGCUGUUGCUAACAGAGGAGUAGAACCUUCUCCAAGCUGAGGCAUCCGGCGCACCGGCAAACUCGACGAUGAUCAGUGAUCCCCCGCCGCUCGGGACGUGUUCCUGGUGCUCAGGAAUCAGAUCAUAUUCGCCGUCUCCAAGUUCGUCGCCGCAGAGAUGGGUGAUCAGAGGGAAUUGCUUCCGCACCCUGUCGUCGGCGCAGACGUGCUCCACGAGAGUCUUCUUCCCAACCUCCGGUGGGCCGGUGAUGGGGAGGACUCCGGGAAGCGAGCAAGGCCGCAGCAGGAACUCGAUAACCCUCUCCAUCUCGCCGUGCCGGCCAAACAUGCACCGGCCCAUGUGCAGAUACGUGCUGUACGGCUGGCGACCGACGCGCGGGUAGCCGCCGAGGAACACGACGAACUCCUUCAUGUCGCCGAGCACGGCCUCGAGGCUGUCAACGACGGCCUGGAGCUCGUUCAUGCUGUCUCCGCUUACCUCCACUGCUCCUUCACCGUUGUUGCCGUCGACGACCGCCGCCGCGUCGAAGUACGGCGAGGAGGAGGAGGAUCUGCGGCGCGCCGCGAGGACGCGCCUUCUUGUGCUGACGGCGGCGAGCCUCCGGGAGGCGUCGAGGACGUAGUGGCCCCGGUACAUGCCCUCCCUGAGACGGCCGAGCUGCAGGAGCAUACCGCGGUUGGUGAUGUGCCGCGUCUCGGCCUCCUCGACGACGGCGCGGGCACGCAGGAGGAGACGGUGCAGCCUCCCAAGUUUGCUGGCGGCGGCAUGCUUCUGGUACCUGGCGAUGAGGAAGGAGAGGCACCGGCCGAUGAGGUCGCUGACCACCGCAGAGGCCAAGGCGUCCAUUGCUGAAACUGAUCGAGGAGUUUCUUGCAGGCUGCUGGUUAGUGAUUACUGAACCGACGAGUGGAUUCCCGCCGGUUCGCGAGAAAAAGUUUGAUGCCAUGGAUGGAAUGUGGAGGUCCAAGUCAAGGGUCAACCCCUGAGACAGCACGGCGGUGACUGUCCCGGUUUGUGGUUCCCCUUCCAAGCAGGCGGCUGGUCGUCACUCGUCAAAGUUGCAUACAGCUGAUAAGCCGGUGAAGCAAUCAAUUUAUUGUGAAAUGUUAACAUAAAAAGGACCAGCCCAGAAUCUGUUUACUGUUCUUUUUUUAAAAAAAAGACAUCCUAAACAUCGAACUCGAAGUCUUUUUUUUUGUUUCAUCAAUGGUGUUUCCGAAGAAAUGGUUGAAUAAGAUUUAGUGAACUUUCAAACGUACGACGUCUAACAACCCCAUUUAAAAAAUCCGAUUCAGAGAACAAUGAACCCUAAAAACAAGAAUGGGGAUUGGGGUGUGCAUUUUUUUUUUUCAAGAUGAUUUGUUGUUGCAAAAGAUUUUGGGCUCAGAAUUGAAGAAGGCUGACAAUGUUCACCGGAAUGUAUGAUGUUGAGUAACACAACAAGGAUAUGCUGACCACAGGUAACAAAUAAGUGCCCAGGGUAGUUUAAAGAACCUUUUUACAAUCCUUGACUAGGAUCCCGAUCAACUAGAGAUUGUGAAAAAACGUCUUUAGCUUGUGAAUUGUUAAGAGUAAAUUUCUUUUAUGCCAUUAAGAAAAUUCCAAUCUCUUUGGUGCCAUCAGAAAUUUUGGAGAAGACACGGCAGUUUAGUCCUUAACAGAGCUCAGAGGUAUGGAACGUGACGUUCAUGGAAGGGAACAGAAAAUUUUUAACUGGUGGCAUAGAAGGAAACUCAAAAUUUGAUGGUACCAAAGGGAUUUGAAAUACUACUUCUAGAUUUCAACAGCCUAUAAUACCGUUAGUGGAGACGUGGGUAUGUGAAUGACAAAGGUGGCCAUUUCCAGUAAAAUCCAAUUGCCAAUUUGGUCUUUUUUUUCAAUGCACAAGAUGGCAAAAGCUAAUGAGAGGCAACUUAUGGGAUUGUUAAAAGAUGGUAAAAGUUGGCAUGCUUAGAUCAACCAGACCUUUUAAAACCAACAAUCCGCACUUUAGCCGAUCCAGACAGGGCCUAGAAGUGUAGCAUGAUUUUGGUAGAAGAGGUGCGUGAUGCUAGUUUCUCUCAAGUUAAAAUUAGUAGCUCUUUGCGAACUGAGUUAGUGAACUGCCCAUCCAAGUCUUCAACUCAACGUAGGUGCUUGUAUUUUUUUAUAUUUAUUUCAAGAAUUAACCAUGCUAUUCUUAAUUUUAGUGGUAAGUGGUAUGCCCGUUGACAACGAAAUGCUUAUGGUGACUUUGUUAAUCUCAAGAUUUGUUGCUCAGUUUCUCAACAAUGCUCGUCUAAGAGUAGGAUGUGUGUUUGUAUCGAUAUGGGUAAUUGUCGUAAACAUCUGCAUGGGUAUCGCUGUUUUGAAAAAAUGGGCUUGUUUUACCUUUCCAAGAAAGAAAAUAAAGCUCCUGCGUGCCAUUUUUGUUAGGAGACAUGAAGGCGAUAGACACCCUACUACUAUUAUUAUAUGUGUUAUUCAUGCGACUCUAACAUGAACUCACUACUCACACUUAUGAAAAUUAUCAAGAGACUGCUUGAACAGAUCAUGAGAAUAUCAAAGUUACCACAUCCACCUCAUUGUGAACGGUACACCACUUACUAUUACAAAAAUUAGCCAUAAAUGCAAGUACUCGCAUCGAGUCAAAGACUCGAACUUGGAUGAUCAUAUUCCACCAUUACAAAUCUCACCAACCAAGUGAUGACUAGAGAUUUUGCAACAGUUUUAUAAACUAUGACUAAACACAUAGAGAGAAACAACUCCAAUUAAUUCUAACUAGAAUGGACCCAUUACCAAAGUACUCCAACUAUUAAUGACAUUUGCACACAUUUCUAAGAGUAAUAAUAUUUUUCUCGGUGGCUAAUGUUAAUAAUAUUUUCCACUUGUUAAGAGUGCGGAAAUUGAUUGGGGGGUGGGUUGGGGGGGGGGGGGAGCACAACAUAUAGGUGGGGUAGCCCUCACCCAUCGGGCUAGUCUUUUGGGUUGAGUUAGGCCCAAGUCCUUGUUGUGGGCUCUGGUGGGGCGCCGUCUCGUGGGUAUAACAGGUCGGGUGGAUUCUGCUACGCACUCUAACAGUUAAUCUAGGGAUCUAGCCAUUUCUCAUCAUUAGUGGCCUUGAUGACUCCUGAUCAUAUGGUUGCGUGGCAAUUUGUAAGAGAUGGGACUAAAGGUUGCAAAUGAUGGAUGUAGUAGAGUUUUGGACUAAGAACCAAUGUUGGCUAAGUGCGUAUGUAGGCGGGGCCGCUUCAAAACCUGGAGCCUGGGGUGGUCGCCACAUUCACCAUCCCUAGGUCAAGGAGAUGGGCACACCAAAAUUUCAAUUGAAGAAAACAGAGGAUGGAGGGGGAGGAUGGGGCAGUGGGUAGAUCCGCCGGUGGUAAUGACCCACUGGACUCACACAUGCCCUAUGCCACUACUCUACCUUGGACACCACACCACAUCACUCACUUGUCAGGGCAACCGGAGGGGUAGGGGGGAAAGGAUGAAGACGAAAAAUAAUUGUAGAAACACACAAUAAAAUUUGGAAAAUAAUUAAAAGGAAAGAAAAAACUGGUGAUGAGCUUCAAUCCCUUGGUGCCACUCGUUGGGUGGAAACCAAGUCGCCUCACAGCGGUGAGAUCCCGAGAGCCACACUAUGUGCUCUCCAACCGGAUCUGUCCCCUUCACUAGGAAUCCACCGAGAGAUUGCACCCACCAGUUGAAGUGCCACCGCAUGCUUCACAUAUGCUCCAUCACACCACCUCUUGUUACUCAACUCCCAGCUAGCGAUGCACGGGGGGAGUUUCCUUGAGCCGCACCAGAUCCUGCUACGUCGGCAUGUGCAGAUCCCGCGAGCUUUGGGUUCUGGUCCCUCUCCAUGGUGACAUGUGCGUUCCAUGCCUAACGCAAACAAACAACACAGUGGAAAGACCAUUGGAGUGGAGGUAACAAUCACACUUUUAUUGAGACUAAACUUUGGUUCCAGUUGUCAUCCCACCCUUGUUUCCACUAUAUUUGAAAUUUUUUCUAUGCUUGUUAGUUUUUGAGGAGAAUUUAGACCAACAUUAAUUGUGUAUAUCUACGUUUGGAAUGUUGCUUAUGUUCCAUUUUUGGUCCCACAUACAAAUAAACUUUGGUUCCGGUUGUCAUCCCACCCUUAUUUCUGCUCUAUUUGAAAUUAGUUGUAUGCUUGUGAGUCUUUGAGGAUAAUUUUUUUUAUGUAACAGGAGGGGUGUGACCUCCAGAAAAAUAUUCGGUGCAAACGACCUUCUCGCGGUGGAAAUGUGAAAAUCCCUUAAAAAUCAUACUUUCAAGUAUUAAUUUUUUUUUGAAAUGAUGCACAUUCAUAGUGCAUCCAUAGACACACUUUGUGGCAAAAGAUGGGAUGCAAAACCAUUUUUGCAAAAAUUCAUACAAAAAUGACAAAUUUCAAGUGCAUAUGCACUAGAAGACCAAUUUCCAGGAAUUUCAUCUUUUAGUGUUUAUGCACAUGAAAUUUAUCAUUUUCAUUUGAAUUUUCCUAUUUUGAGUUUGCAUCGCAACUUUUGCCACAAAGUACAUCUAUGGAUUUUUUGAACACUUACAAAUAUGAUUUUUGAAGGGGUUUUCACGUUUCCACCGAGAUGGUGGUUUGCACCGAAUAUUUUUGUGUGACCCCCUAUUAGUUAUAUAUUAAAACAAUAAAUAAAGUAUUUUACAGGGAACAAAAAGAUCAAAGAAAGAGAAAGAGAAAAGAGAAAAUUACAGCAGAUUUUGUAUCCAUUCCUUGUGUGCAUAUAUCCACGGCUGGAAUGUUGCUUAUGUCCCAUUUUUUUCUCCUUCGAGAUCAUUUUCAAUUCAAAGAUUGAAGCCGAUGAUUUUAGUUUUUUCAGUUUACCUAGCAUCCCAGUUUCUUUUCAUGGGCUAGUCAGCAUCCUCAUGAUCUUUAGUUUUUUCAGUUUACCUACCAUCCUGAAGAUCUAGCUGCCAGGUAUUCAGAAACCUGACAGCCUCCGCACAAUUGCAAGUAACCCGAUCCUUUGUACCAGGUGCAACCACUAACCACGCACUAGCAGUCAACGUGAUACAGAUCCAAUCUUGGGUUAAGCCAUUAAGAUCAAAUCAGUGAAGGAUGGUCUGACCUUCCCCCCUGGUCAAUCGAAUGGGAUAACUUUUUUCGACUUACGAGAUGCAAAUCAAACAUAAAAAUGAGCACAAAGUUUACCAAUCAAUUCAGAAAACGACCUGCUGUGAACUAUCCAAUAACUCAAAGUCUUGCUUAAAAUCAAGUCCGUGACAAAUGCUCGAAGGUAAUAUGGUACAAACACGGGCAAUUGAGAGCUUGCAAAGUUCCAACCAUUUAAUAAAAAUGAAGACUAAAAUGAGUUCCUUCUCCAGGUAUAAUAUUAGCUGCAACAGAAGCUUAUAUGCGGUAAUUGUGCUGCAUGUUUUUGGUAACAAACGUCUAUUUUGUAAAUGGGAUAGUUGUGUGUCCACAGAUAGAUGUGCUACAUGUUUUUGGUAACAAACGUCUAUUUCGUAAAUGGGAUAGUUGUGUGUCCACAAAUAGAAGGAAUAGUACACUUUUGGGGAAUGCGCCUUUAGUACCUGGUCAAAAUCCAUCUUUAGUACCGGUUGUGCAACCGGUAUUGUUAUUUCGCCCUUUAGUACCGGAUCAAAUAAUCGGUACUAAAGGGGUAUUAAAAAAUAAAAAAAAAAGAAAUCCGCCAACCGGAGACCUGACCGUACCCUGCAGCCAUCCGCUAGAGCCCUAGAGCCCCGGCCGCACACCUGAGCCCCGCACCAGAGAGAGAGAGGGAGGGAGGGAGGGAGGGAGGCGGUGUACUUACGCUGCUCAGCCACCGCCGCUGAUUGCUGCCACCGCCGGAUCUGAGGGAGAGGUGGCCGCUACUCCAAGAUCCACACGCUCCUUGCUCCACCAUGCCUGCCGACGCUCCACCACCGCGCCCUCCCGCCGGAGCUCCGCUGCUCCUUGCCCCGCCGCCGCUCCUUGCUCCGCCACGCCCUGCCAACGCUCCACCGCCUUGCCGCACCCUCCCUUCCUGCCUCCGCUGCUCCUUGCCCCGCCGCCGCUCCUUACCACAUGUAAGAGGUGAGGGGCGAGUGGAGGGGGGAGGAGAGGGGCGGCGACGGGGGCGGGGGGAGGGGGGGAGGCGGCAAUGGGAUCUGUGGGAGGGACAAAGGGAGGGGAUUCAGCUGCGGAGAGAGAGGGGAUUCGGCGGGGAGAAGAAGAGAGAGAGGCGCAGGUGAGAGGAUGAGGGGGACGAGCAGAUAAGUGUGGGGAGGGGGUGAGAGAGAGAAGGGAGGACUGAUGCGUGAAGAGAGGUUGCGAUUUAGUACCCGGUGAAGCGUCCACCCGGUACUAAAGGCCUUCAGGCACAUUAGUACCGGUUGGAGGCUUCAACCGAUACUAAUGGGUGACUUUAGUACCAGGUGAAGUCUCCACCCAGUACUAAAGGGGGUCAUAGGGGUUCCUCGGGGACUAGCUGUUAGGUCCGGUACUGAGCCUCAGGAUGAAUGCUGAGUUUUCCAGUAGUGAUAACUAUUAUCACAUAAUAUCUUGUGGACUAAGGGACUGAUUGGUGGGGCACCAAAAUGUGCCAAACCAAAAUCAGGGCAAGCCCAAUGAUUCUAGUGCUCGCUUGGUUCAAAUCCAAAAAACUGGCGUGCCAAAGUUUCUGGCACAUCGGCAAGGUUCAGCUUGCCCACGUUUUGGCUGUCCCUGCCAUGCUCCCGUAUUCCCAUCCCUUACUAGUUUGCGCUAUUGUCCUCUACCUGUCAUCUCACUUCUUGCAGCCUCCAGCCAACCCGUCAUCGUCUCCUCUCCUCAAGUACCCAGGUUCUCACCCAUCAACAACAAAGCACUGGAGCUGGAGUUCCACCACCACCCUUUCCCGUUGAAGAUUAAAGGGAACUACCUUGAGUAUAGAUGGGGUAGCAAAAUCUUUCCAUCCGUUGUUAUGCAAGCUGCAUAUUCUAAAAGUGUGUGCUAGUAUGAAUCAUGAACAUUGGCAGUUGUGUUUUGGCAUCAAACCAAUUGGGGGCCAAAAUUUUGGCUGCCACAUUUUGGCACCCAACCAAGUGCCAUCCUAAAACUUUUGCUCAGAUUUUGGCAUGCAAAUUUUGGUAGGGCACAUUUUGGUGCCCAACUAAUCAGACCCUAAAAUUAAAAGUCUGUGGUUAGAAACUUAUUAUGUUCAAUUUGAACCUCUAAUUUAUUAGUUCCAUUUUGGGUUUUGCUACAGUGCGCCGGAUACUUCCCAGGAGGUACAGGAGUUCACAUAAAUCAUAGCCGUUGAUUUGUAGAAUAACUUAUUCAAGAAAUUAAAAAAAUCAAGGAAAAGAAGAAAAAAAUCCAUCCCAGGAAUCACGUUAUUUCUUCUUCAUCCGGCUCUUUCCUUGUCACCCACGGAGAGAAAGAAAGAAAAAGCUACACCGACAUGGAAGUCGGAACGCAGGUCCUCGGCGACACCUCUCGUGAAUCCUCCCCAUUCUGCAGCAUCCCUUAAAUUGUGGAAGCAAAUCAAAUCCAGGUUCAAGAUUUUCGAUCUAAUCGCAAUCGACUUUACCUGCUAGAUCUAAUUGCCACGUUAAAAGAAAAGACGUGAUACAUGCCAUCACGUGAAAAGUCAUCCAGAUCGAUGACAUCAUUUAUUUCGGUCGUCGCAACGUCCACUUUGAUAACGUUCGAUACCGCGGAUGAUCCAAGAUUCAUAAACGAUGUUUUCAAAUUUGGUUACGCAUGCGACGUGCUUCCUUGGUGGGCUAUAAAGGUAACUUGUGUGACGUACUUCCUUGGUGGGCUAUAAUAAUCUUCUAUCAAGAGUAAUGGAGCGAUAGCAAGAACUAGAUCUCUUUCAAGCCUUGUGGUCCUAUUAUCUUCCAGAGUCAUUAUCAUCGUGAAUUUAAUUCUAACUUUCCAACAAGGCAGCUAUUCGAGUAGCUACAAUAUGUCUAUUUCUCUAAACCAGCUGUGCCUUUCAAUCUCUUUUGUCCUUCCGUUCGUUCACUUAAUUUCAUCGAGGAAUUGACAAGAUCAAACGUGCUUUACCGUAGGAGUUACCACGCGCACUCACCCAUAUGAAUACACAUAUGCAACCCUAUCCAUAUGAGCAUAUUUGAGAGACACCAAUAUUAUUUUUCUUUCGCAAAACACAGUAAGUUCAUGUAUACACACGCAUACUCACCCUUAUGAAUACACACAUGCAACCCUAUCCAUAUGAGCAUAUUCGAGAGACACCAAUAUUAUUUUUCUUUUGCAAAACACAUAUAGAUGCAUAAGUUCAUGUAUACACAUGCACACUCAUCCCUAUGAAUACACAUGCAACCCAAUCCCUAUGAGCAUAUUCGAGAGACUGGGCUGACAGAUCUCGAGAUUGCGUGUACCUCACUAUAGACGGACAUGUCGUCUAGGUACCACUGAAAGAAUAGUAUUUAGCAUCUGUUAAUUCCUAGAAUAAAUCUAGGAAAUAUUCCAAGUCGAGGACUCGAACCGAGUGGGUAGGUUCUACCACAAGAAAUCAUAGUAACUACGCUUAGUUCACCACCUAUAGAUAUUUAGCAUGAUCUGUGCACAGCUUUUCUUAGUAUCCAACCAAACUUGGUGAUUCGUGGUUUUGAAAAGGUUUUUUAAAGCUCAGCUAGGAUUUUCUGGGUGGGACCUUCAAAAUAAAAAAUGGUUCACAAACCAGAUUCUAGUAGGAGAUCUGGAUAGGACUUAAACCACUUAAGGAAAAAUUUUCUAGCCUGUAUAAGAUAGUCAAUUAUUACCCUCAUGUUACAAUGACAAAUGUGAUACAUCAAAUGCCACUCAAUAUCUAUUUUCAAAGAGCUCUAGUAGGGGGAUAAGUUGACAGUGUGGCAUAAUACGGUAGCUCAAAUAACUUUCAGAUUUCUAACGAGUGGGAUAUUUUUACCUUCAACCUACAUAAACAUGGGACUGUAGAGCAGAGACAUCACACAAAUAUUCUAUGCAAUUAUGGCUAGACUCUCAAUUGUAAUUUUGCUUAUCUUUUUUGUUUCCUUUUAUGUUUCUUGAGGUUUUAUUUGUAAGCUAAACUCUUGUUUCCUUUAAUAUAUAUAAUCAGUAGGGGCUCUCCUCUCCUGUUACCAUCAAAAAAAACA
Molecule: long non-coding RNA, 22707 nt
Filed under: Setaria viridis
Lineage: Eukaryota; Viridiplantae; Streptophyta; Magnoliopsida; Poales; Poaceae
Description: long non-coding RNA (SVIR_LNC005186)
Source: RNAcentral